This 945-nucleotide long non-coding RNA is filed under the name Homo sapiens (human). RNAcentral's name for it is "HSALNT0107163". The record is from RNAcentral. Lineage: Eukaryota; Metazoa; Chordata; Mammalia; Primates; Hominidae.
AUCUCCUGACCUCAUGAUCCGCCCACCUCGGCCUCCCAGAGUCCUGGGGUUACAGGCGUGAGCCACCACGCCCAGCCCAGAACACUUUUUUUUCUAAUGAGACAUGUUUCUUUACUAAUUGCUUACAGAAUUCACAUUGGAACAUGUUGAUUUUGUCCAGUUACAGAUGGGGAAACUAAGAGGUUCUUUGGUUUUGUUUUUUUGGGUUUGUUGUUGUUGUUGUUUGUUUUUUUCCUUGAGACAGAGUAUUACUCUGCUGCCCAGGCUGGAAUGCAGUGCAGUGGCAUAAUCAUGACUCACUGCAGUCUCCAUCUCCUAGGCUGAGGCGAUCCUCCCACCUCAGACUCCCGAGUAGCUAGGACCACAGGCACACGCCACUAUGCCCAGCUACUUUUUUGCAUUAUUUGUAGAGAUGAGGUCUCCCUAUGUUGCCCAGGCUGGUCUCAGACUCCUGGGCACAAGUGAUCCAACUGCCUCAGCCUCCCAAAGUACUGGAAUUACAGGAGUGAGCCAUCUCGCCCAGCCAUGAGGUUUUCCCCAGACGUGCCUCCAAGCACACAGAAUACUCAUCCUUCAUCCUUUUUCACCUGCAGUCUUAAGACACCUCAUUUCCUUAUGUUCUCACCCCUCGUGGAAGCACUGCCUGUCAUGUAAUGGCAUCUGAGCUCCAAGAGAACAGCAGCUACAUGUUUUAGAACUCACCUUACCUGCCAUCAGGCCACAGCUCAGCAAGACUAGAGUUCUGACUCUGAUAUGGGAUCUAAGGAGCAUUUUAUGAGACACAGUGGUGGCAACAAAAUUUAUAAAGCCUCUAACAGCUUUAUUUUCCUCCUGAAUUAAAUCUACACUCCUUAGUUUGGCACUCAAGAUUGUACAUGAUGUUUUCCAACCUUUGUUUCUAGUAACUGCCUUCCUGGUUACUUUCUUUCAAACUUUACACUCCAG